UAGGGAAUCUUCGGCAAUGGACGAAAGUCUGACCGAGCAACGCCGCGUGAGUGAAGAAGGUUUUCGGAUCGUAAAACUCUGUUGUUAGAGAAGAACAAGGACGUUAGUAACUGAACGUCCCCUGACGGUAUCUAACCAGAAAGCCACGGCUAACUACGUGCCAGCAGCCGCGGUAAUACGUAGGUGGCAAGCGUUGUCCGGAUUUAUUGGGCGUAAAGCGAGCGCAGGCGGUUUCUUAAGUCUGAUGUGAAAGCCCCCGGCUCAACCGGGGAGGGUCAUUGGAAACUGGUAGCCUUGAGUGCAGAAGAGGAGAGUGGAAUUCCAUGUGUAGCGGUGAAAUGCGUAGAUAUAUGGAGGAACACCAGUGGCGAAGGCGGCUCUCUGGUCUGUAACUGACGCUGAGGCUCGAAAGCGUGGGGAGCAAACAGG
Molecule: ribosomal RNA, 429 nt
Filed under: Gemmatimonadota bacterium
Lineage: Bacteria; Pseudomonadati; Gemmatimonadota
Description: Gemmatimonadetes bacterium partial 16S ribosomal RNA
Rfam family: Bacterial small subunit ribosomal RNA
Source: RNAcentral